Long non-coding RNA from Cucurbita moschata (crookneck pumpkin), 508 nucleotides. RefSeq lists it as uncharacterized. The transcript has 3 exons. Lineage: Eukaryota; Viridiplantae; Streptophyta; Magnoliopsida; Cucurbitales; Cucurbitaceae. The record is from RefSeq and is a predicted model, not a curated record.
UGAGGCAGGGAUUAGGGGAGGAAAAUACUGAGGCUGCGAAGAUACUUUUUGUGAUGAAUGGAAAUGGAAGUGUUGCAUUUGACGGAAGACGAGAAAUUCAUGUCCGCCGGACUCAUCAUUGCCAUUCAAGGAAGGAUGGCGUUCUUCGAUUCCUACUGAACUUUCGUAUUAUAUGCUGACUAUUUGGGGUCCGUACAUCACAGAUGCAAAACCAUCCAACAUCUAUUCUCCCAUCAACAUCAGCGGUGUUAUGCUGAAGUCUCGAGAUACCUGGUCAAAUAGGUAAUAAUAAUUCUGGUCUUUCUAUUUGAUGUCCAAACCUUUGAGACUUCCUGCUUGGAUGAGAUUAUUUGUUAUGAGAAAUGGGGUUAUGUAAAUGUUUGCCUCCCUUUUAAGGACAUGGGACAUGGGAGUGUGAGGUCUUACAUUCCCAUUAUUGGUUGGGGAGAGAACGAAACAUUUCUUAUAAGGGUGUGGAAAUCUCUCUCUAAUCGUGAGCCUGACUGCA